CAAAAACAAAAGCGAAACCUUUAUUCUUUUGGCUUGAUUGUAAUGUGGUUUACCGUUCUUUAUGGUAACAGCAUUUUCCUGCAUGCAUUUCACCAACACACUACAAGUCAAUAGCUUUAGUAUAGAGAAUCUACAUUUAUUGUUGCUUGUGAAACACAAAGUAUUUUGCUGUAACUGGUAAUAUAACUUCACUACCUGGUUUUGUGGGGGGGAAAAAAAGCUGGGAUCCCAUAUUAUAUCUGAUACAGUUCUAGUGCCAUAUGGGUCAAUAAGAUCUAUCUGUGUAAACAAACAUUGGAAAAGACUGAUGAUUACUGAAUAAAAAGACUAGGUGGAAACAUUGGAUUCAAGCAAUGCCAAGAAUAUCAGCUGAUUUUUUUCUUUAAGCCUCUUUCAAUGAUAAGGCAUUACUAUUGAAAGCAAAUAAACAUUGAACUCAGUUUGAGAUUUGUUUCACAUUGAAACGUGUGCAAGUUUACAGUACUAAUAAAAAAGCAGAAACCUACACUGCAUCCUAGUCCUUGCUUCUUAUUUUGUGAAGUGCUUCAGUUUAAAAGUGCUAGGAACAGAAACUAACAAUAGUGACUGUGAAAUCCACCUGAAGAUACUUUUAAUUUCUCAUUUUAUGUACAAAAGGCUGAAAAAUAAAAUAAAAUGAACUUUUUACAGUAUUUAUAUUUCCUUAGAAAACUCUAACCAUAUAUUUUAAACAGAUUUAAGCAGCUUGCAACGUGUUUGUACAGUCGGGCUUUUCAUCAUAGAGUGUUCAAUUAAGGUUGGAAGAAUAAAAAGCAAGAAGCUCUUCCUUGUUUGCUGCAACCUAUUGCUUAAUGACAUGAAGAAUGAGGUCUUGGUAGAACAAUUUGCUUCACUUUACCACUGACAUAUGGCUUCCCAUAUUAGACUUCUGAACAGUGGAAGGAAUAAGAUACAGCAGCAUAGGCAAGAUAAACAUGCAGCAGUGACAGCUUCAAACUAUAAUGGAACCAAUUACAUCAUAUUACCUGUUGAAAGCUUGCAAACUAUACUUACUGUGGUACAUAUUUGAUGCAAUAAGUAGUGUGCUUAAAUCAUCAUUUUCGUUUGCUCAAACAUGCACCACUGGGUAAAAUUACUAUUUACAAAGCAGACUUUUAUUUUUUAAAUUGACAUAUACUAUGUCAACCUUACCAAGAGCAGAAGAUGGCUAAACAAUACUGCAGGAUAAAGCAGAAUCAACUUUAUAAAGUGGUGGUGGGGAUGUUUUUUGGUCAAUUCAGGUUUCUUAGAAAGGACUGAUAGGAUAUUUUUAUUUUAUGCCAAAGGACACUUAUCAAAAAUGUGAUAGUCAUGCUGCUGGGACUGUGAAUGACAAUGUAAUGGUAUGUGUACAUCUCUGUGUGUGUGUGUGUAUACAUAUAUAUGUAUAUACACGCACAUAUACAUAUAUACAUAUAUACAUGUACAUUUAAUGGAUUAUGUAAAAAUAAAGCAACUCUUUAAUGCUUGUGAUUCUAUGGAACAUUUACAGGCACAUUAAAUUUUUUCUGGAUGAGACACCUUAAAAAUACGAAUAGCUAUUUAAGCACCUCAAAAAUCUAAAAACAUCCUGAAACAAGAAGUAAAGUCUUUCCUUUUGUGAUGUGAUUUUUUUUCAUGUGUGAAUGAGAAUUGCAGCAUGCCUCCAUUUAAAAUAUAUCCAGUUAUACAAUACAAUAGAGAAAUGUAGAAUUCCCUCCCUUUAAUCCCUCUCCCCAAACACAAACCCAUUUACAAAAAUAGUCACAUAUAAUAGUAAACAACCUGUGAAUUAAAAAGAAAAGUGAUAAAUUCACAGCACACGUUUUGUAAAAAUAUGGCAGGUGUGGCAGUUAAAACAUAAACAGUGGUGACAAUUACUAUUAUCAAGUGUCACAUGUUGAAUUUACAUAAAAAUUUAACUUCCCUCCCCCCUUUAAAUUGGUUCCUAUCGUCUGAGUAGCCAUUACGCCUCUGCUCUUCAGCAGUGUCAGCUGGUUGUGAAAAUAGAAACCUCCUGUCGAUACUACUUCUCCAGUUUACUGAGUUCCAGUUUGCUGACCAGAGGUCUCUGUCUUGUUGUAGGCACUGACCUUAAG
This is a long non-coding RNA of Macaca fascicularis (crab-eating macaque), 2096 nucleotides long. NCBI's taxonomy places the organism in Eukaryota, Metazoa, Chordata, Mammalia, Primates, Cercopithecidae. The record is from Ensembl.